GCGGACGUGGUGCACGGUGCACCACUGCUUUCAAUUGAAUUUCCAGUUGACAUCAAGCAGUCAAACGGGGUUCGACUCCCCGCGUCCGCC
Molecule: non-coding RNA, 90 nt
Organism: Mycena latifolia
Lineage: Eukaryota; Fungi; Basidiomycota; Agaricomycetes; Agaricales; Mycenaceae
Source: the annotation of a GenBank genome assembly